GAUGAAGAACGUAGCGAAAUGCGAUAAGUAGUGUGAAUUGCAGAAUUCAGUGAAUCAUCGAAUAUUUGAACGCACAUUGCGCCCCUUGGUAUUCCAUGGGGCAUGCCUGUUCGAGCGUCAUUUGUACCUUCAAGCUUUGCUUGGUGUUGGGUGUUUGUCCCUCGGGACUCGCCUUAAAGUCAUUGGCAGCCAGUGUUUUGGUUUUGAAGCGCAGCACAAGUCGCGAUUCAAGGCUAUCCGCCCGCUUCCACAAGCCUUUUUCACUUUUGACCUCGGAUCAGGUAGGGAUACCCGCUGAACUUAAGCAUAUCAAUAAGCGGAGGA
This 324-nucleotide unclassified non-coding RNA is filed under the name soil metagenome. RNAcentral's name for it is "partial contains 5.8S ribosomal RNA, internal transcribed spacer 2, and large subunit ribosomal RNA". The stretch from base 1 to 120 matches the Rfam family "5.8S ribosomal RNA", at positions 35 to 154 of the family's 154-position model. The record is from RNAcentral.